Anolis sagrei ordinatus is the source of this 886-nucleotide non-coding RNA. NCBI's taxonomy places the organism in Eukaryota, Metazoa, Chordata, Lepidosauria, Squamata, Anolidae. The record is from RefSeq and is a predicted model, not a curated record.
UCUGCUUCUAUCUCCCUUUAGAACCAGACCAGUGUCAUUUCUAAAGCAGGCAAUCCACUAUGACAGCCAACUAUCCAAGCCCAUGCUGAUUUAGAGAGGGGCUCUCUCUUUCCUCUAAUAUUACACGCAGCAGACAACGGCUUGCCUCCUAAAUGACAAGAUAUAUGGACUUGAAGAAGAACUAAAUAAGAAAGAAAAAAAUAUAGACCCAGCUGACUUACCUUAUUUUCUCCAUCUCUGCCGCAGAGGCCUGCAAGAAAUCAAACAAGAAGGAAGCAAGUGAAUGGAAAGUGGAUCAGCGGGCAGAUAAAGGCGCAGCCAGCGGUGCAAACAUCUGCAUGAGCAGAAGAAAGGCGAGAAGGAGGGAGGAAAAGGGAAAGAAAAGGAAGAAGAAAAAAAACCAACACCAGAAGCACAUUGACAGGUUUCAACUCCAGCAGAAAGGAGUCCGCUGCAGGAAGGAGGGGAGGAAAAAAAAGAAAGAAAGCUAUGCCCAGGAGGCAUAUAUGGGCAGCAAUAGAAAUGGCAUAGAGCUGUGAACUUGUGUAUUGCCUGGACAAAAUUGUGCGUGCAACAUGGUGCUUCGACACACACAAACAGAGGCUGAACGUGAAGCUUGUAUUGGACUUGGAUGAUGUUUGAACAGCCGAAAGAUGCCAUCUGGCAGCAAAUGAGGAGACUGAAACAGAAGGAUGAAACUUAAGUAGAGUGGCUGAAAGUCAUCUAUGGCCAUUCAGAGAAUAGGACUACUCAUAUUUUGAGAUCAUGUAUCAGAAGAUGGAGUCUUACUAUGCUUGCGAUGAGUGAGUUCUGAAAGACUUAAUUAAACCAAUGCUUUCCUUUCUUUUGUUGUUGUUGCUGUUUUGUUUUUAAUGGAGGACAAACU